This 497-nucleotide ribosomal RNA is filed under the name uncultured bacterium. RNAcentral's name for it is "partial 16S ribosomal RNA". It matches the Rfam family "Bacterial small subunit ribosomal RNA", at positions 28 to 507 of the family's 1533-position model. The record is from RNAcentral.
GAUGAACGCUGGCGGCGUGCCUAACACAUGCAAGUCGAGCGAAAAGACGCGGAGCGUGGUCGACGGACGUUAGAGGGGGGCGGGGGAGUAAGGAGUGGGUAACCUACCUGUAAGUAUGGGAUAGCAUCGGGAAACCGGAGCGCAUACGGGAUGAUAUAUUGAACCGGAUGGCUCGCUAGAGAAUGUCGGCUUUGGCGUCUCUUAUGGCCGGUUCCGCGCCGCAGUAGCUAGUUGGUAAGGUAACGGCUUACCAAGGCGACGAUGCGUAGCCGACCUGAGAGGGUGAUCGGCCACACUGGAACUGAGACACGGUCCAGACUCCUACGGGAGGCAGCAGUAGGGAAUCUUCCGCAAUGGGCGAAAGCCUGACGGAGCAACGCCGCGUGAGGGAAGAAGGUCUUCGGGUCGUAAACCUCUGUUAUUCGGGAAGAACAAAUGUGGGAUUAACUAUGCACGUCUUGACGGUACCUAAACAGAAAGCCCCGGCUAACUACGUG